RNAcentral lists this transfer RNA (73 nucleotides) under Paramuricea clavata. It matches the Rfam family "tRNA". Rfam says of the family: Transfer RNA (tRNA) molecules are approximately 80 nucleotides in length. Their secondary structure includes four short double-helical elements and three loops (D, anti-codon, and T loops). Lineage: Eukaryota; Metazoa; Cnidaria; Anthozoa; Malacalcyonacea; Plexauridae. The record is from Rfam by way of RNAcentral.
GACCGCGUAGCUCAGUUAGCAGAGCAUUGGGCUGGUAUUCCAAAGAUCGUAGGUUCGAUUCCCACCGUGGCCA